UGGACUGUCAUUUUUAACUACAGCUGUUUAUGCUAUUAUAUACCAUUGUGACCCUUUAUUUUAUUUUUGUGUGUUGACAUGCACUAUCACAUUUACAAAUUUUGGGGUUCAGAUUUUUAUUUAAGAUCAAAACGUAAUGUUUUAGUAUUAAGUACAAAGUGCAAAGUCUUUUAGGUAAGAUAUUUGUCAAUAGUUUCACCAAUCGUUCUGCCUAUUCACUGUAAGUAAUACAACUAGCAGUUAAAAUAAUUAAA
Long non-coding RNA from Octopus sinensis (East Asian common octopus), 254 nucleotides. RefSeq lists it as uncharacterized. NCBI's taxonomy places the organism in Eukaryota, Metazoa, Mollusca, Cephalopoda, Octopoda, Octopodidae. The transcript has 4 exons. The record is from RefSeq and is a predicted model, not a curated record.